Molecule: transfer RNA, 59 nt
Filed under: Andrena pecosana
Lineage: Eukaryota; Metazoa; Arthropoda; Insecta; Hymenoptera; Andrenidae
Description: tRNA-Leu
Source: RNAcentral
UGUGGCAGAUUAGUGCAAUGGACUUAAGAUCCAUAUAUAAGUUAACCAUUUCGUUAAAA